GCGUUGGUGGUUUAGUGGUAAAAUUGGCCGUUGCCAGAUGAUCCAACCCAUUAUCUCAAUAUCGGCCAGCCCCGGGUUCGAUUCCCGGCCGACGCA
Molecule: non-coding RNA, 96 nt
Organism: Recurvomyces mirabilis
Lineage: Eukaryota; Fungi; Ascomycota; Dothideomycetes; Mycosphaerellales; Teratosphaeriaceae
Source: the annotation of a RefSeq genome assembly